Molecule: long non-coding RNA, 922 nt
Organism: Nicotiana tabacum (common tobacco)
Lineage: Eukaryota; Viridiplantae; Streptophyta; Magnoliopsida; Solanales; Solanaceae
Source: RefSeq, a predicted model, not a curated record
AACCUAGACCUAAGGAAUACGGACCUUACCCUCAGAACUUAGGAAACGGUGGAUCUGAAGAGAGACCCCCACCCCCCUUUUUUGAAGCGUCUUCUUCUUUACAGGCUUUAGGAGACCCUUCCAUCUCCUCUCCAAACCAAUAGCCAUGGCUUCACCCUCAUCACCACCAAAUCCUUCAGCACACGCCAUUUAACUCCCCUUCUUCAUCCAUCAUUUCCUCACAGCCACCAAAUCGCCGGAAAUCCGGCAUUCAUCAGCUCCCCCUUUCUCUUCGAUUCUUUUUAUCUCAUCUCUAACCUUGAAAAAAAUGGAAACAAAGACCUGACAAGCUUGGAGACCAAAAGCAAUAGAAAAACCGAAUUUCAAAGAAGAUCUGAAAGGGAGUUUGGUCGCUGAAAUGUUAAAAUUCGUCUUCCUCCUUUCUUUGGGCUCGUAUGAAGUUGUGAAUGGACUGUGUUGCUGAACUCGUUGUUCCCGAUUUUAAAUGUUCUAUUCAUCUUCAGCGUUAACUUUACUUGGUUAUUUGGGACUGUAUUACUGCCGCUAAGGUUGUCAUUUUUAAGAUGGUUCUGGAACCGGAUUAUUGGUUUGUCUAGUAUUCUACCAGAAUUUUUGGCUUAAAAUAUGGUAUACAGUGGGAGGGACUUUAGGGAUUUGCCCUCUGGUUUUGUUUAAUUAUCAAUUCCUUUUUGUAAGUAAUUAAGUGUCAAGUUGUUUUUUUAUUUGAGCUACAUGAUCCAUCUUGAUCAAAGUUAGUUUAUAAUGGACUGAGUUGGACCCUUUAGCAUAUGAGAAUUGGAAUGUGAGAAACAUAUGGUCUUUGACACAAACGGAGUGUUGAUGUUAACCAAUCUUGUGUAUUGUUGCUAUUAACCAAGGUAUUCUGAAUAAUGGAAAAUUUCUUUCCUUUUUUUUGGUGAAA